GAUGAACGCUAGCGACAGGCUUAACACAUGCAAGUCGAGGGGCAGCAUAAAAGUAGCAAUACUUUGGUGGCGACCGGCGCACGGGUGAGUAACGCGUAUGCAACCUACCUAUCAGAGGGGAAUAACCCGGCGAAAGUCGGACUAAUACCGCAUAAAACAGGGGCACCGCAUGGUGAUAUUUGUUAAAGAAAUUCGCUGAUAGAUGGGCAUGCGUUCCAUUAGGUAGUUGGUGAGGUAACGGCUCACCAAGCCGACGAUGGAUAGGGGAACUGAGAGGUUGGUCCCCCACACUGGUACUGAGACACGGACCAG
This 312-nucleotide ribosomal RNA is filed under the name uncultured bacterium. RNAcentral's name for it is "bacterial SSU rRNA". It matches the Rfam family "Bacterial small subunit ribosomal RNA", at positions 28 to 334 of the family's 1533-position model. The record is from RNAcentral.